RNAcentral lists this ribosomal RNA (254 nucleotides) under uncultured bacterium. RNAcentral's name for it is "partial 16S ribosomal RNA". It matches the Rfam family "Bacterial small subunit ribosomal RNA", at positions 524 to 777 of the family's 1533-position model. The record is from RNAcentral.
UACGAAGGGGGCUAGCGUUGCUCGGAAUCACUGGGCGUAAAGGGCGCGUAGGCGGCGUUUUAAGUCGGGGGUGAAAGCCUGUGGCUCAACCACAGAAUGGCCUUCGAUACUGGGACGCUUGAGUAUGGUAGAGGUUGGUGGAACUGCGAGUGUAGAGGUGAAAUUCGUAGAUAUUCGCAAGAACACCAGUGGCGAAGGCGGCUCACUGGCCCGAUACUGACGCUGAGGCACGAAAGCGUGGGGAGCAAACAGGG